GACGAACGCUGGCGGCGUGCUUAACACAUGCAAGUCGAACGGAAAGGCCCUGCUUUUGUGGGGUGCUCGAGUGGCGAACGGGUGAGUAACACGUGAGUAACCUGCCCUUGACUUUGGGAUAACUUCAGGAAACUGGGGCUAAUACCGGAUAGGAGCUCCUGCUGCAUGGUGGGGGUUGGAAAGUUUCGGCGGUUGGGGAUGGACUCGCGGCGUAUCAGCUUGUUGGUGGGGUAGUGGCUUACCAAGGCUUUGACGGGUAGCCGGCCUGAGAGGGUGACCGGCCACAUUGGGACUGAGAGACGGCCCAGACGCAUACGGGAGGCAGCAGUGGGGAAUAUUGCACAAUGGGCGGAAGCCUGAUGCAGCAACGCCGCGUGCGGGAUGACGGCGUUCGGGUUGUAAACCGCUUUCGCCUGUGACGAAGAGUGAGUGACGGUAAUGGGUAAAGAAGCACCGGCUAACUACGU
This 467-nucleotide ribosomal RNA is filed under the name uncultured bacterium. Its description in RNAcentral is "partial 16S ribosomal RNA". It matches the Rfam family "Bacterial small subunit ribosomal RNA", at positions 28 to 506 of the family's 1533-position model. The record is from RNAcentral.